AGGACGAACGCUGGCGGCGUGCUUAACACAUGCAAGUCGAGCGGAAAGGCCCUUCGGGGUACUCGAGCGGCGAACGGGUGAGUAACACGUGAGUAAUCUGCCCCUAGCUCUGGGAUAGCUCCGGGAAACCGGGAUUAAUACCAGAUACGACCACUUUAGACAUCUGUUGUGGUGGAAAGAAUUUUGGCUAGGGAUGAGCUCGCGGCCUAUCAGCUUGUUGGUGAGGUAACGGCUCACCAAGGCGACGACGGGUAGCCGGCCUGAGAGGGCGACCGGCCACACUGGGACUGAGACACGGCCCAGACUCCUACGGGAGGCAGCAGUGGGGAAUAUUGCGCAAUGGGCGAAAGCCUGACGCAGCGACGCCGCGUGGGGGAUGAAGGCCUUCGGGUUGUAAACCCCUUUCAGCAGGGACGAAGCGAAAGUGACGGUACCUGCAGAGAAGCGCCGGCUAACUACGUGCCAGCAGCCGC
This 473-nucleotide ribosomal RNA is filed under the name uncultured bacterium. RNAcentral's name for it is "SSU rRNA". It matches the Rfam family "Bacterial small subunit ribosomal RNA", at positions 26 to 518 of the family's 1533-position model. The record is from RNAcentral.